UCUCUUCGAUCUCCUCUUCCUCUCUCAACCUCUCUCUUCGAUCUCCCUAGAUAUCAACGAUGAUGGAACCCAGCGCCGCCAGCCAUCGACAGAAUCAAAGAGCUGCCAGUAGCCAUCUCCACCAACGCCGACAGCACCACUCGACACUCUCUUAGGCUCUUAGCGCUGAAAUCUCAGCAUUGAAGCUCAAUUUUUUCUUUUGCUCUCAACGGGUAAGAAUUUUUGUCUUUGCUCGAAGCGUCGUUGUCAUUCUUGGAAGUCUUCUUCUCCAUUUUCAAUUUCUAUCCAAUUUUUGAUUAAAAAAAGUUGAUAUGGAAUUUGCCCACUGAAUUUCAUUCGAUUUCACAACAUCAUUUUAGAUUUUAGCUACUCAUACAAAAAGUAAAAUAACAAGAACAAAAGUAAAGAUAUUGAAGAUUAAAGAUCUUUGUUUAAGAAGUAGAAAAAGUAAGAUUAUGAACUAGAUGAAAUAAUAAACCUAUAACUAAACAAAAAGUAAGAAAGAAUGUCAAAUCAUUACAAUUGAAACAUCAUAUGCAAAUUUAUGGUCAGUGGAUUCUCCUUGCUGCUCUGUUGAUUUUCUUUUAAGGGUUGUUGGAUUCACAUUGUGAAUUUACUCUGUAGGCAUGAAUUGCUUCAUAGUUUGCUUCUCUUUGUUGUAGGUUCCUCUUUAGUUCU
This 678-nucleotide long non-coding RNA is filed under the name Capsicum annuum. RNAcentral describes it as "long non-coding RNA (CANN_LNC019724)". Lineage: Eukaryota; Viridiplantae; Streptophyta; Magnoliopsida; Solanales; Solanaceae. The record is from RNAcentral.